ACGACCACAAGAUCGAUAGCAAAUAAGUACCUUGAGAAAGUUGAAAACAGCUUUGAAAAAAGAGUUCAAGAGUACGUGAAACCGUUUAGGGGUAAACCUAAGAAACCUAAAAUAUCGAACGAGAUUCAUCGUCAACGGCGUUGCUUUCGUUCGCGAGUUCUCUCGACUCGCGGCGCGGGCACAUUACCGUGCGCUGAUGUCCGGCGCUCGUCGUGCAUUUCUCCCCAAGAAGAACAUCGCGACCCGUUAGAUGUCGGUCUACGGCCCGGGUGCGAUGCCUGUCGCGUCGCCGGUAAAACGGCACG
This 305-nucleotide ribosomal RNA is filed under the name Paratrechina longicornis. RNAcentral describes it as "partial 28S ribosomal RNA". It matches the Rfam family "Eukaryotic large subunit ribosomal RNA", at positions 322 to 609 of the family's 3401-position model. Lineage: Eukaryota; Metazoa; Arthropoda; Insecta; Hymenoptera; Formicidae. The record is from RNAcentral.